Molecule: unclassified non-coding RNA, 305 nt
Filed under: Hevea brasiliensis (rubber tree)
Lineage: Eukaryota; Viridiplantae; Streptophyta; Magnoliopsida; Malpighiales; Euphorbiaceae
Source: RNAcentral
GAUCAACUACUUUAGCCACGUGUCUUGAUUGUAGUAAUACCUUUUGUGACAGUGCAGGUCACCUGAGAGAACACAUCACUGGACACCCUUCUCACCGACAAUAUUACUCCUAUAAGCUCAAGCGUUUGGUAAAAUGCUGCAAAUCUACGUGCAGAGUGACAGACAUCAAGAAUCUUUUAGCUUGUCACUAUUGUUUUGAUAAGGCUUUCGACAAGUUCUACGAUAUGUAUUCUGCAACUUGGAAAGCAGCUGGACUUUCAAUUAUCUGCAAUUCUAUUUGCUGUGAGGAUCACUUUGAAUGGCAC